Molecule: long non-coding RNA, 2066 nt
Organism: Ailuropoda melanoleuca (giant panda)
Lineage: Eukaryota; Metazoa; Chordata; Mammalia; Carnivora; Ursidae
Exons: 3
Source: RefSeq, a predicted model, not a curated record
UGCAUUGCUGUGUGUCUGCCACCGCUGCCUGGCACUCACGGGGCCGUGUGUGUGUCUGUGUGUGUGUGUGCGUGUACAUGUAUGCAUAAACGCGUGCUGUAUGUGAGCCUCCUGGGCAUGGGUGGGGGUUGGCACUGCGGUUGCCAAUCUAGUGUCCAGCCAGAAGGACAGAGGGAUGGAGUGGAAGGAGGGGAGAGGUUCGGGGCCCGGGAGGGCAGGACGGGGUGCACGGCAUGCUCCGUGGUGCCUGCUUACAGGCAUUGGCACUGCAGCUGCCACCCUUGUGCCCGCGGAGAUGGGAGGAGGGGGUGGGGAGGGGGGCGGCGGCAGGAGUCCUGGUGCUCUGAGAGGAAGGAUCGCUACCCGGGGGCCAUUGGCAUCACACCCGUCAGGCUGGUGGCCCGAUCUGGGGCGGUGGGAACAGGGGCCCCAGGAGACAGAGAGGAGGGGCAGGGGGAUGUUAAUGAUGUUGCUGUCCCUCUGGAGCUCAGCUCUGAGAAACGGUUGGACUAUGAGGUAGUCAGCCUUCCUCCAGUCUGGGAAAGUAAAGUGGUGGAAAGAGUAGCCAGGGAAGUGCCAAGAAAGUGUCUAAGAGCCAGGAGGAGGGAUUGUGCCACUGCUCCCUGGGAGAGCUCCUCGGGGCUGGCAGUCUGGCCCUUUGUGAAAAGCAAGGGGACAUGGGGGUGAGGCAUUGAGUGCUGGCACUGCCUGAGGAGCCUGGCACGGGCUCUGGCGUUGUGUGGAAUGGAGGAGGGUGGCAGUGCGUCUUACCAAUCUGCUUGAGAGCGUUGCCGUGCCAGGAGUGAGAAGGGAGGUGAGAUGUUCCGUGUGUGUGUGCAUGUGUGUGUAUGUGUGUGUGUGUGUGAGUUGUUUGGGAGAACAGACUUUUUUCUGCCAGGACCUCCUUGCUGUUGCCUCUUAGGCAUGGGGAGUGGAGCAACAGAUGGAGAGAGGCAUGAGGACACAAAGGAGGAAGCACGCCAUUGCCAAGACCCCAAGGAAGAAGGAUGGAGAGCGCUGGCAGUCCUGUCUGGCCCCCGGCCAGUUUCCUGCUGAAGAUGGCCAAAUCCUCUUGCCUGAGGCAGUGUCCUUGGCAGUGCCACAGAACUGGACCUUGGGCCUCCGUCUGGAAGAACAUCGAGGAGGUGGGGCUUUCCUUGCUUUCUGGGUAGCCUGGAGCCCUGGAUUAGUACCUAGGAAGAUACUCGGGAGAAGAUUCGGCUCUGGGUGAUGUUGAGGGAGACUGGGUGGCUCUGAUGGCAGUCAAGCCAUGGCCAUGCUGGACUCAGCUGCUUAGGGUUGGGGGAGUUCUCGUUUCAGCAUUUCUGCGAGCGAAUGCCAGCUUCAGAAGAAGGGACAUGGUUUCCACAGCAGAGGAAAAAGCAGGGAGACACUCAGCCAAAUGGGCUCUUCUCCUGCACCCUCUGGAUCAAUGGCGCCUGGCUGGCUGUUCUCGGUCUCUGCUGGUACAACCUCAGCUGCCUAAGGGGGACCCUAAGCCCAGCCUUCGGGCCGAAGACCUCCUAGGAGACAGGAAGACGCUGGGGAGCUCGUCCAGGGCUUCCUCUCCCUGCAGCCUUCGGGGCAGGCCCACAGCUCCCAUCUCCUUCCGACAGGCCCUGGCCCGGCCCGAAGUGGAUUCCAUUCUUCUGUUUUUCUACUUCCUCUCUCCUUCCUGACCAGCUCCUGCUGCCCCCAACACCUAGCGUUGCUGGAACACCGGUCACCAUUCGGAAUCACUGGGUGAUGCCUCCUCACCUCCCUUCCUGUUCUCUACUCUCCACCCAGCAAAGCCCCUGCCCUUCUCUGCCUCCUCCCUCCCAAGAGCCUCUUGCUUCCCCCGUUGCUCGGCCGCCCCACUGUUCCCCAAGUCUGCUUUUAUCACCCCUUCUCGGCUGGCUCCUUUCCACCUGUUCUCGCGCACAGAGCCGUUUCUCCUCCCUGGCAUCACCUUCUCCCCAGCCCCGGCUCCCGCCCCCUCGCGGUCCCCUGUUCCUCACCGGAAGUCCGGAGCUGCCCGUGGCUGAAGCUCAGGAUACUCUGCAGGGCCGAGAGCCCUUCCUCGG